Molecule: ribosomal RNA, 60 nt
Filed under: Phragmotaenium derxii
Lineage: Eukaryota; Fungi; Basidiomycota; Exobasidiomycetes; Georgefischeriales; Tilletiariaceae
Description: partial 18S ribosomal RNA
Rfam family: Eukaryotic small subunit ribosomal RNA
Source: RNAcentral
UUUAGAGGAAGUACAAGUCAUAACAAGGUUUCUGUAGGUGAACCUGCAGAAGGAUCAUUA